CACAGCAGCAGUGCUUAUCAACAGAGUGGACAUGCAGAAGCUUAUGGAUACCCACAGCAGUGUUCCGCCAUGAGAAGGAUUGACGUUCUGACACCUGCUCUAUGGACACCCUGACAAGCUGAAUGACAUAAGCCAGUCACCAGUGUGAGGUGCCUGGAGAGGUCAGACUCGAGAUGGAAACUGGUGUGUAUAGGGCAAGCAGUGGGAUGCCAUGGUUAAUGAGGACAGAGUUGCUGCUUGGAAUAAGACAUUUUGGAAGAAGCUUCUGGUUGUAGUCACAGUGAAUGUACUUUAUGCCUUAGAAUUUGUUAACCUGCAGCUGAUGAAACAACCAUAUAUUUAUUUGGUAAAUAUAGUUACCAAAGCAAAACAUGCAAACCCUGGAUUAAUUUCUAAAUGUACAAAAAUGGGGAAUGGAUCACUGAAGGCCCACGUCCUUGAGCCCAGCUUUGGACAGGGUUAGUUCACUACCUUCUCACUUCAAGGAGUUAAAGCACAUCCUGCCAUUUUCUCUUUUGUAGAUGGCCAUCCCCCCAUGCCUCUGCACUUAAAGGUCUCUAUUGUGUGUUUGAAUUGAGUCAAAUAUUGGUCCCUUUCCUCUCAGGGUUAGUUAUCUUGUAGGAGUUCCCACAUUCUGCAUUCCACAAAGUUAUGGAAAUGGUUACCGACUUUUUCCCAUGUCUUCUAGAUUAACCUUCCUGAGGUGUCUUCC
RNAcentral lists this long non-coding RNA (712 nucleotides) under Rattus norvegicus (Norway rat). RNAcentral's name for it is "long non-coding RNA NONRATT020038". The record is from RNAcentral. Lineage: Eukaryota; Metazoa; Chordata; Mammalia; Rodentia; Muridae.